AGAGUUUGAUCCUGGCUCAGAAUGAACGUUGGCGGCGUGGAUUAGGCAUGCAAGUCGCACGAGACACCAAUUAGCUUGCUAAGAGGCAGACAGUGGCGAAAGGGAGAGUAACGCGUGGUUACUUGCCCUCGAGACCGGGAUAGUGUCGGGAAACUGGCAGUAAUACCGGAUAACAUCUUCGGAUCAAAUGGUGUGAUUCCGCUCGAGGAUAGGACCGCGUACUAUUAGCUUGUUGGUGAGGUAACGGCUCACCAAGGCUGCGAUGGUUACCGGGUGUGAGAGCAUGGCCCGGCUCACUGGGACUGAGACACUGCCCAGACACCUACGGGUGGCUGCAGUCGAGAAUCUUCGGCAAUGGACGAAAGUCUGACCGAGCGACGCCGCGUGCGGGAUGAAGGCCCUCGGGUUGUAAACCGCUGUCGGUAGUUAGGAAAUCCAUGAGGGUUAUCUCUCAUGGUUGACCGAUCUUUAGAGGAAGGACGGGCUAAGUUCGUGCCAGCAGCCGCGGUAAGACGAACCGUCCAAACGUUAUUCGGUAUCACUGGGCUUAAAGCGUGCGUAGGCGGCUUGGUAGGUGAGAUGUGAAAGCCCACGGCUCAACCGUGGAAUUGCGUUUCAAACCCCCAAGCUCGAGGAAGAUAGGGGUGAUGGGAACUUAUGGUGGAGCGGUGAAAUGCGUUGAUAUCAUAGGGAACACCGGUGGCGAAAGCGCAUCACUGGAUCUUUUCUGACGCUGAGGCACGAAAGCUAGGGUAGCGAACGGGAUUAGAUACCCCGGUAGUCCUAGCCGUAAACGA
This 797-nucleotide ribosomal RNA is filed under the name uncultured marine microorganism. RNAcentral describes it as "bacterial SSU rRNA". It matches the Rfam family "Bacterial small subunit ribosomal RNA", at positions 8 to 809 of the family's 1533-position model. The record is from RNAcentral.